Selaginella moellendorffii is the source of this 607-nucleotide long non-coding RNA. RefSeq lists it as uncharacterized. The record is from RefSeq and is a predicted model, not a curated record. NCBI's taxonomy places the organism in Eukaryota, Viridiplantae, Streptophyta, Lycopodiopsida, Selaginellales, Selaginellaceae. The transcript is spliced from 4 exons.
UUCUAGGUUUUUCCGGGGAUCUAGGGAACCCGGCGGCCGUUCUCCCGGGAAUCCUCGCGGAUUGUCCAUCCAAGCUGCUGCUUUCUAGGUUUGUUGUGUUUCGGGAGGUCGAGAAGGCCGAAUCUCAAGGAGACGGCCAAAGAUUCCCCUGUCUAACUGUGCAAGCUUGUUUUUUCUCUCUCGUCUUUACUGAGUUUGCUGGUGCAGGUUUGUUGUUGAGUUUCGUCUCUUAGCUCCGCUGUGAACGCUUUUUCCAGUGAUGAAGACCAGAUCAUCUCCAGGAAUUCUCUCAGGGGGUAUCGAUCGAGUGAAGACUACAUAUCCAUAUGUAGCAGUUAAAAAAGCAGACAGAGAGCAUGGAGGAUAUCCAAUGGACAGGUUUUGCUAUGAAAGAAAUAGGUAACUUUUCCCCCUUACCUAAAGGGUGUGCGUUUGGAAGAGGCACAGCAGGCAUAUCAACAGAAGAAACCAAAUAUCCGGUUUUUACCAAAUGGUGCUAAAACAGAAUUUAGUAAAGCAACUAAAGGCAUGUUUUGGGUCACUGUUGGACGGUAAGUUCUCUUUUUGUUUCUCUUCUUUAAUUUUAGUCUUUUCUUUUUCAGAAAUU